GAUGAACGCUGGCGGCGUGCUUAACACAUGCAAGUCGAACGAAGCACCUUGAUUUGAUUCUUCGGCUGAAGAUCUUGGUGACUGAGUGGCGGACGGGUGAGUAACGCGUGGGUAACCUGCCUCAUACAGGGGGAUAACAGUUAGAAAUGACUGCUAAUACCCCAUAAGACCACAGCACCGCAUGGUGCACGGGUAAAAACUCCGGUGGUAUGAGAUGGACCCGCGUCUGAUUAGGUAGUUGGUAGGGUAACGGCCUACCAAGCCGACGAUGAGUAGCCGACCGGGGAGGGGGACCGGCCACAUUGGGACUGAGACACGGACCAAACUCGUACGGGAGGGAGCAGUGGGGAAUAUUGCACAAUGGGGGAAACCCUGAUGCAGCGACGCCGCGUGAGCGAUGAAGUAUUUCGGUAUGUAAAGCUCUAUCAGCAGAGAAGAAAAUGACGGUACCGGACUAAGAAGCACCGGCUAAAUACGUG
RNAcentral lists this ribosomal RNA (479 nucleotides) under uncultured bacterium. RNAcentral's name for it is "partial 16S ribosomal RNA". It matches the Rfam family "Bacterial small subunit ribosomal RNA", at positions 28 to 507 of the family's 1533-position model. The record is from RNAcentral.